AGAAUGAACGUUGGCGGCGUGGAUUAGGCAUGCAAGUCGGGGGAAUCCCGCAAGGGGGAACCGGCGUAAGGGGCAGUAAGGCAUGGGUACCUACCUUUGGGUUCGGGAUAGCCAUCAGAGAUGGUGGGUAAUACCGGAUGACGUCGUGAGACCAAAGAUUUAUCGCCCGUUGAGGGGCCCAUGUGAUAUUAGCUUGUUGGUGGGGUAACGGCUCACCAAGGCGAAGAUGUCUAGCGGGUGUGAGAGCACGACCCGCGCCACUCGCACUGAGACACUGGCGAGACACCUACGGGUGGCUGCAGUCGAGGAUCUUCGGCAAUGGGCGCAAGCCUGACCGAGCGACGCCGCGUGUGCGAUGAAGGCCUUCGGGUUGUAAAGCACUUUAGUGGGGGAGAAAAGCCGAAAGGUGUGAUCUAUCCCAAAAAUAAGCACGGCUAAGUUCGCGCCAGCAGCCGC
This 456-nucleotide ribosomal RNA is filed under the name uncultured soil bacterium. Its description in RNAcentral is "bacterial SSU rRNA". It matches the Rfam family "Bacterial small subunit ribosomal RNA", at positions 26 to 518 of the family's 1533-position model. The record is from RNAcentral.